AACGAACGCUGGCGGCAGGCUUAACACAUGCAAGUCGAGCGCCCCGCAAGGGGAGCGGCAGCCGGGUGAGUAACGCGUGGGAACUUACCUUUUGGUUCGUAACAACUCCGUGAAACUGGAGCUAAUACCGGAUAAGCCCUAACGGGGAAAGAUUUAUCGCCGAAAGAUCGGCCCGCGUCUGAUUAGCUAGUUGGUGAGGUAACGGCUCACCAAGGCGACGAUCAGUAGCUGGUCUGAGAGGAUGAUCAGCCACACUGGGACUGAGACACGGCCCAGACUCCUACGGGAGGCAGCAGUGGGGAAUAUUGGACAAUGGGCGCAAGCCUGAUCCAGCCAUGCCGCGUGAGUGAUGAAGGCCUUAGGGUUGUAAAGCUCUUUUGUCCGGGAAGAUAAUGACUGUACCGGAAGAAUAAGCCCCGGCUAACUUCGUG
This 431-nucleotide ribosomal RNA is filed under the name uncultured bacterium. RNAcentral's name for it is "partial 16S ribosomal RNA". It matches the Rfam family "Bacterial small subunit ribosomal RNA", at positions 29 to 507 of the family's 1533-position model. The record is from RNAcentral.